GGCCUAUACAUGCAAGUCGAACGCACUCUCGUUUAGAUUGAAGGAGCUUGCUCCUGAUUGAUAAACAUUUGAGUGAGUGGCGGACGGGUGAGUAACACGUGGGUAACCUGCCCUAAAGUGGGGGAUAACAUUUGGAAACAGAUGCUAAUACCGCAUAAAACCUAACACCGCAUGGUGUAGGGUUGAAAGAUGGUUUCGGCUAUCACUUUAGGAUGGACCCGCGGUGCAUUAGUUAGUUGGUGAGGUAAAGGCUCACCAAGACCGUGAUGCAUAGCCGACCUGAGAGGGUAAUCGGCCACACUGGGACUGAGACACGGCCCAGACUCCUACGGGAGGCAGCAGUAGGGAAUCUUCCACAAUGGACGAAAGUCUGAUGGAGCAACGCCGCGUGAGUGAAGAAGGUUUUCGGAUCGUAAAACUCUGUUGUUGGAGAAGAAUGUAUCUGAUAGUAACUGAUCAGGUAGUGACGGUAUCCAACCAGAAAGCCACGGCUAACUACGUGCCAGCAGCCGCGGUAAUACGUAGGUGGCAAGCGUUGUCCGGAUUUAUUGGGCGUAAAGCGAGCGCAGGCGGUUUCUUAAGUCUGAUGUGAAAGCCUUCGGCUCAACCGAAGAAGUGCAUCGGAAACUGGGAAACUUGAGUGCAGAAGAGGACAGUGGAACUCCAUGUGUAGCGGUGAAAUGCGUAGAUAUAUGGAAGAACACCAGUGGCGAAGGCGGCUGUCUGGUCUGUAACUGACGCUGAGGCUCGAAAGCAUGGGUAGCAAACAGGAUUAGAUACCCUGGUAGUCCAUGCCGUAAACGAUGAGUGCUAGGUGUUGGAAGGGUUUCCGCCCUUCAGUGCCGCAGCUAACGCAUUAAGCACUCCGCCUGGGGAGUACGACCGCAAGGUUGAAACUCAAAGGAAUUGACGGGGGCCCGCACAAGCGGUGGAGCAUGUGGUUUAAUUCGAAGCAACGCGAAGAACCUUACCAGGUCUUGACAUCCUUUGACCACUCUAGAGAUAGAGCUUUCCCUUCGGGGACAAAGUGACAGGUGGUGCAUGGUUGUCGUCAGCCCGGGCCGGGAAAUGUUGGGUUAAGUCCCGCACCGAGGCAACCCUUAUUACUAGUUGCCAGCAUUUAGUUGGGCACUUUAUGGAAAUGCCGGGAAAAACCGGAGGAAGGGGGGGGCC
This 1173-nucleotide ribosomal RNA is filed under the name Latilactobacillus sakei. RNAcentral describes it as "bacterial SSU rRNA". It matches the Rfam family "Bacterial small subunit ribosomal RNA", at positions 46 to 1181 of the family's 1533-position model. The record is from RNAcentral. Lineage: Bacteria; Bacillati; Bacillota; Bacilli; Lactobacillales; Lactobacillaceae.